AUCAUCACAGAGGGAGUGUGAGUAACUUUAUAUUUGGGGAGAUGAGGCAAAGAGAGACAGUUUCAUAGAGGAAGCAAUUUUAAAUUUAGCUUUUAAAGAAUAAGUAGCAUUUUGACAGGUGGACUAGGAGGUGGGUGGGCAACAGCCAAAAAAAAAGCAAGAGAGAAAGAAAGAUGCUUUAAAAGCCUAAAACAGUAUAAAGCCUCAAUCAUCCGGCUGCCUCCUGGAGCCAUUUUCCUUUGUGGAGUUUGAUAUCACUCCAAGGUGAUAAAGAAUAUGACCAAAGUAUCCUCAUCAAUAGAGAAAGAAGGAGAGAAACUGUAAUUUAUUGACAGCCUGAACUGGGCCUACCUUUUUCAUACACUAUCUCUGUAAUGUCAUUGACAACAUUAUAAGAUACUGGGAGUCAAGAAUCUGUGAAACCAUGGUGCUUUCUGUGGCCUUGGCUGAUUGAAUGUUUAAUGAAUUUCUAGAUGCUCCUGAUGUAAUGAACUUGGAAGGUGAAUGUAUUGAUUAAUUUCCCCCAGAGGGAAACACUAACCAAACAGCAGCUCCUUUUAGGUUCUAAGUCUUCUAUUUUUAUUUUUUAAGAUUAAGUGCCUUGAUGUUCUCUGCCCAUGAAACUGUAGAAUGUCUAGAGUAAAAGGUAAAGCCACACUCAUAAUAAAUAUUUUUGUGUUCAAGUCUAAGCCAAUUCAGGUAGUAAACAAUGUGAGGAGAACAUAAUUAACAUUCUUGGUUUAGUAUCAAGGCCUGAGUCAUUGCCCUGGGAAGGAAGAUGGUGUAUGUGGCAAGAUCUUUAUGAAAGUACAUAUGAAAAGUUGAAAAGACUAAGAAGUAAAACCAAAAGGAGGGAAAAAGCAGUAGUUCAGAGUGUGCAGGGUUUGAAAAUAAAUUUUCAUUCAGCACAGUCCACGUGGCUUGCUGAAUACCGAACAUAUAGAGAAUGAUAUUGAUAUAUAUCCCACUUUCCAGUACAUAUUAACCAAAUAGCCUAACAGAUGCAAAGUUAUGCGAAAUAGUUAAAGCCAUAAUAACGUGUGAAGCAAACAAGUGUCCCAUUUUAAAAGACCUUGUGAUUUUGAGAGUUGAUCAAGGCCUUGUUGUAGCCCCACAAUCUGAAAGGGCUGGGACCUCCACCAGAUAUGGCUCUCUUCCUUCUAUAUUAAAGAAAACAAAAACUUAAGAAAUAAUUUUAAAUAAAUAGACCAUCUUUUCUUCUCAUAUGUAAUUUAUCAACCACAUUUCAUUAUAUUUACAAAUGGUUUCACUUUUCUCCAAAGACAAGAUGCAUUUAAUGUCAGUUUGGGGCAUUAAGAACAAAGCAAGAAGAAUUUCCUAGCUAUUUAUUUGUUCUCCAAAUAACUUUUUUCUUAUUUCUUCAUUUGUCAAAAAGAGAGUGUUUUCAGAUAAAAAGGGUGUAAACCUGGAUGCUCUGAUUGAAGUCAUUUUAAGACUUCUGUCUGGAAAUUACACCGAGGCUAAGCAUGUGGAAAGCUUGCUGUACUCCAAACCAAAACAGCAGGGUCCUGGCUCCACAAAUCCGUUCCACCAGACAACAUUCGUCGCUUGUUAUCCAGAUAUUAUUUUAAAGCAUGUCCCUUUGUGGUCAUUGAAUUGUCUAAGAUAAGGUGAUUGGCUUAUUUGCUGUGUCUUUAUAAUGAGUAUCUUUGCCAGAAUAAUCAUAAGAAAUCCAAUACCGGGUAAUGUUUUUCUAUUUGUAGCACAGGAUUUCAAACCAAUUUCCAAAAAGUAAAUUCCUCAGCAAAUAAUGCAGAUAGGUCUUCUACUUUUUCACUCAUUGUAGUCUUAAGCAGAAAAGCAAUUUGAUUGGUAGCCCAAAUAUCAGUGCUACAAAAUGAAGCUUUCCUCAUGGGAGAAAAGAAGAGCAAUUUGGAUAAUUGGACUUGAAAUUUUACUCUGGCUUGACCCCUUCUGGGCUACGUGAACUUGACCAACACAGUUCAUCUCUAUGAGCCUCAGCUUCCUUCUCUGUACAAUGCCCACCUCACAGGGCAUUUGUCAGGAGAGAAUAAAAUUAUGCCUGUGGAAGGCUCAAACUAGCAAUGUGUGAGCUGGCUCCUGCCCAUGGAUGUGUUUUGCUUGGCUUAUACAAAGUUUCGAACUUUUAAAUUUCAUUGACAACAUUUAAAAAUUAGACAAUUCAUAUUUCUGACUUUUUGUUUUUAAAUCUAAACGCUGCAAAUCUUAAAACUGGCUGGAACUAAGUAUUGGCUCAGACACAUUCCUACCAUCGCCGUUUGUCUUCAUCCAUCCUGCCCAGUCGAUGUUUGCACUUGCAAUCCCCACUAUAAAAAAAUGUUUGAUUACCCUGGUAAUAUCCUGUUCAAGAAAAUUCUCUUAGACAAAGUGAUCUUAAGCACAAAUCAAAAUUCAGUGCUCAGUAACAGGGGACUAGUAAACAGUCAAAAAAAGGAGAGGAAACAGGUGUGUAUCUAGAUGAUAGAGCGUUUAUACAAGUAACUGGACAGUUAAACACAGACACUGGUUUAUUUCACAGAGCUGUAAAACCAACUUUUUUACAAUUGACAUGGAUUGAUAUUUUGGACAUGUGUGAGUUGGAGCCAUCCAUAGAUACGAACGAAUCAUUCAUCAGAAAAAGACCACACAGGUGGAGAUGGUGAGAAGGGGUGUCCUUGAUCUGAGCAUGCUAAGAAAUCGUCAGUAUGUUUCUACCCCUGCUUCCUGCUGCUACUAGCUGGAGAAUGAGAGAAUGGCAGGCAAAGACACAGGAGACUGGAACAUUAGGAAAAUAUUUCAUAUGGGCCCACAUAUUUCAAGCCCAUCAUUAUUCAAUUGAGGAGUUUGAUGUUCCUGAGGAGAGGGAAAUUAUUGCCUCCGAAGAGCUUUGCUGGCAGAAAGGAAAAUAUCACUGCGAUGGUGGUGUACUAAUUAUUUUCAAGUCUGUGCGGGACUCUAAAGCAGGAAGACGGAGAGAACGUUUAUUACAUCUCUCAAGCCCUUCAUUUGGGAAGGGGGGGCUGGUGAUGGGGAGGUAACAAGCUUACCAGGACUGAAGAGAAAUUGUUAUUCUUCAAAGCGCCUUCUCACGAAGGUUUCAAAAUUGUAGAGAAUCUCUUAGAUUCUGAGCUCUUUCCAAAUUUAUUCCUAAGUCAUGAAUACUAUCAUGCCGAGAAAAGGAAAGACGGUUAACUCUAGAAGAAAGAAUUCCAAGGAGGGUAUGAUGUAGGGACAGUUCCCACCAGAGGGGAAAGGCAAGUGCGAGAAGAGGAAAGGGACUUGGCAGAAUAAAUACUGAAGUAAAGAUAAAGCCUGAGACUCUCAGCAUCCCAAUGCUCCCUCCUGUGGGCUCCAGAUGCACUGAGAGGGAAACCAAGGACAAGAUGGGUGGUGGCUGAGAGUGAAUGGUGAAGAGUGAGGUGACUGCUGAGUCCCUGACAAUCGGUGCAAUAAGAAAGAGCUGAAUUGGUACCAAGACAGCAAUGUGGGAACACCAAGUCUUUACUGUGAUAAGAAGACGGCCCUUGAGUUAGAGCAUCUAUGAACACUUCAGAAAUGGAUGCAAGGAGGGCAAAGCCCAGUGCCUAGAGAACAGGCAACAUGAGCUCCAUUUCACCUAUGGAUCAACGGAAGCCGUGAAGAAAGAGAACAUGGAGACAGGAGACUCCCUGAGGCUAUGUGAGCUCCGCUUUGUGUCCAGAUGCCAUCUUUGGAAGAAGAUGAGAGAGGGAAAGCUCUUUCAGAAAGAAAUGCAAACCUCGUUUUACCCCCAAAGGAGACUGUUUACAAUAGGAGAGACUUUAUUAGUUGUAAUUAGAAAGUUUGAAAUAGUUUCUGCCAUCAGUGGAAAUGAGUGGCAAAAAGUUUCUAUUUGUUAUAGAAAUAGAGAAGCGAAAUUCCAUGCACACUUCAGGUUGUAUUGCACUAAAUUUUGAUCCUAUGCUUCAUGCAUUAUUUCAUUUAACCAUUCCAUAAACUCUAUUAUUAUUCCCAUUUUAGAGCAGACCAUACUGAGAUUAAAGGAAUCUAGAUAACUUAGGCAACAUCACAAAGCUAGUAAGUCAUAGAUGUGAAAUUCUGUUUGACCCGAAAGCUGCCUAUUUUAAUCAUCUAGUUUACAAUAGAGGAUAUAUAUUAUUUCUGUGACAAUUUAAGUGACACCAAUAGACUUCAAAUAGAGUCAGCAUAUGAAUUUGUCAUUGGAUAUUCACAGAAUAUGUUAAUUUUUAAAGUUUAAAGGAGAAUGUUGAACCAACAGUUGGUUUUCUUUUUAUCUCUGUCCUCAUCAGGACUCAGUUAUUGAUCCUGCCUACAGACAAAAAGUCAGGCUCCCAUGAAAGUGUUUUCUUCAGAAUCCUUCUAACCCCUCAGAAUGGUAUCACAUGCCUGUUUGUAAUUCUAGUGUUUGAUUCCAACAGUACUCCUUAUCUAGACCUACCACUGUGCAAGAAUGCAAGUCUAAGGAGGCAGAGUUGGGUUAAAUUCCGUCUACCCCCAUUUAUCAAGCUUUGGCAUAGACAACAUCCACCGUAUGAGCCAGUGGUGGUCCUCACAGUAUCUCUGUAUUGGAAAUGUCUGAUUGCCCAAACUCCUCUAGACUCUAGGUCCUGAAGGACUGGAACUGUCUGGCCUCUGUUUAAUCAUUUCAUCCUCUCCUGAAAUUACCUCAUUUCUAGGUGUUUUUCACACUCCAUUCUGUGUCACCCUUUUUGUUCUUUCUCUGAAUGUUAGUUAUUUUACCCAUAGGCAAAGUGCUUGACUUACUAGGCUGAACCACGAUAGGUGUAUGCUAACUACUGUCUUUUAAAUUUGGUAGGAGUGAAUGAAAAAAAGACUUUGAUAUUUUUUGAACUGCAUCCAAAUACAAAACAGAAAUCCAAAGUGUUCUUGGAAAAUAUAUCUUUUCAUGUCUUAAAACUUAUCUCCCAACAGAAUCUAUUUGGGGAGGCGUCAAUGUUCAACUCUGGCCUAGAUAUUUGCCUAAAAUUUGGAUCUUAAGCUUCAGUCUCAGCACUGGCCUUUGAGAGAUUCAUGCUGAAGAUUCAUGUGCAAUUUCAUACUUUUUCUGGUAUCCUUAUAUGCGUGGUGGUCAGAAUGAGGUGAUGACAUAGGUCACCAUCAUACCUAAACAGCAUGACCAGCUCAGUAAAAUGAGCAAGGUGUUUCAUUCUGAUUCAUUGUUCACAUAGGAAUAUUCAUUUUCAAAUACAAGUACACAUUCUAGAUGUACCUUGAAGUGAAAACUCUUCUUAUGUGCUUUGCAUAUGAUAAAACACUGGCAGUCAUUUGAAUAGAAAUGUACAUUUAGUAUUCCAAGGAUAAAAUGCUAUAAAUAUUGAGUGAUUUUGGAACUUGUUAAUGUAGUAUACCAAAUAUUGUUAAGAGCUUUUAAAUAAUUAAAAGAAGGGAACGUGAUUGGUGGAAAAUACUAGGACUACAAUAGAGGGUAUUAGCUGGAUAACUUAAGAAGAAUCUUAUAUUCUUCUUGGAUCAAACUAUAUUUAUAAAAGUUAAAUAAUGCUACAAGGCAUAAAAAGAAAGUUUCAAUUACACCAUACUUCUAAUCCUUAUGGGAUUAUUUGGUGUACUAGUAUUUGCAACCUUAAAUGGGAUAACUUUUAAGAACUGCACUUAAUUUUCACUUGGUUAAUUAUACUUAGGCCUUGAGUCUGUCAAGAAAAAGUUCUAUUGAAGAAUUGUUCCCAUUUUGUAAGAAUGAGUCAAAAGAAGAAUGUCAACUUUCCUAACUUUUUAUAGAAUGGAAAAGCAGAACAAUGUCAUGCAGUUGUCAUUGACAAUGGAACAAACAUGAAGGCUCUGAAUGAUGCAGGCAUCACGAGGAUUCAAUUUUUUCACACUCUCAGCUGUGUGUCUGAAAAGUCAUUACAGCCAUGUGUAAUAUAACAGAUUUGCUGCCUGUGAGCAGAAAGGUAGUAGACAUUUUCCCUAUUCUCUUUCAGCAGUAGAAAAGCUCCAUGACAUCCUAGAAAUGUUGGAACUCCUUGUCUGUACUUUUACAAAAUGUUCAAACAAGAUGCAAUAGUGAGUAUGACACAUUUAAAACAAAAAGAGCUUGAAAUAAAGAAAGCCUUCAUACUGAACUUUGCAAACAAG
Long non-coding RNA from Equus caballus (horse), 6096 nucleotides. Lineage: Eukaryota; Metazoa; Chordata; Mammalia; Perissodactyla; Equidae. The record is from Ensembl.